GCAGGUCACAAAUUUGAUCCACGCUGCACGUCAUGUGCCUUGCCCUUGGUGUCGUGUAACUCUGGUGUAAUCAAGUCGUCGUUUUGAAAAGGCUGAGAAGUCAAGAUGUCUAUUACCAUUUCCCAGUAUCUCUUGAAUCAAAUUUUAUUUUCAGAAUGGAGUUUUUAAAACUUGUAAAGAGAAAAUCCAUGAGCUGGGAAAGAUAUUGUUAAAAAGGUUUGAUAAUUGUCUGAAAUCAAUGAAAUGUGAUAUGAUGAUAUUAUGAAAAAUUCAAUUAUGUGUUAUGAAAGCAGAACAUGACUUGUUAUGUCCCGAAAGCAAGACAUCAUCCUUCAACACAUGAAUGAAAUGAUUUUUUAAUCUGACCAAAUUAAGCCAUUACAUGUGAACGAGGCUCAGGAGUC
Long non-coding RNA from Dendronephthya gigantea, 404 nucleotides. RefSeq lists it as uncharacterized. The transcript is spliced from 4 exons. NCBI's taxonomy places the organism in Eukaryota, Metazoa, Cnidaria, Anthozoa, Malacalcyonacea, Nephtheidae. The record is from RefSeq and is a predicted model, not a curated record.